Perca fluviatilis (European perch) is the source of this 1994-nucleotide RNA transcript. RefSeq lists it as uncharacterized. The transcript is spliced from 6 exons. The record is from RefSeq and is a predicted model, not a curated record. NCBI's taxonomy places the organism in Eukaryota, Metazoa, Chordata, Actinopteri, Perciformes, Percidae.
CACCUUUGCAUUCUUGAGAAUGAGAAACACCGCCUCAUAUAAAAGAGGAAAUGAUUGGUUUCAUAUUUCAUGUUAGUAUAUCUAGAGGAACCAGGCAGCAGCUCUCAGCAGAUUCUAACUUUACAGCAAAGAUGAAGAUGUAUUCAUCUGUCACGUUCGCCCAAGUCGGCACCUUUGUCUCAAUCAUUGUUGUUUUUAUCUACAAGGUUGUGAUUGACAGGAAUUACGAGUGUGAUUGUGAUGGUAGCGGUUAUGACUGUAUUUUGUACAUGGGUGUACCAUCUAUAGUUUUAUUUGUGUUACAACUCUGGACGAUCAAGAAAUGGAGACGUACAGGAAAGGCAUGCAGUCAUAAUGAUUGUGAUGAUGAUUUUAAAUACAUAUGUAACCAGCUUCUCAAGGCAGUUGUAGUUGGUCUGCUGUGGGUUAUCUCUCUGUUAAUUGAUGGAGACUGGGCUGUUUGCUAUCACCACAAAGACUUAGCCUGCAAAGACAAAGCCAAAUUCAACUCUACUGAACACGAGACCCUCGCCAAUGUGAAAUCAAAAUCAGAGUACGUUGGCUGGAGUCUCAUCUUGGUUAUCCUUGGUGUGGUUUCGGUAAUGAGAUGGUUCUCAUGCUGUAGGGAUCCAAACUACAGCAAACUGUAUGAGAAACUGAAGUUGAAACAGGAGGAAUGUGUGCUGAAACAGAUAGCAACGGAAGAUUUGAAAGAAGAACUCACACUAAAUUGGGUAGAAGAAAGAUCAGACGUACUAGUCGAAGCAGCAGCCAGCGCAGCAGACAGAGCAGCCAGAAGAGCCACAGAUGCCAGAACAGUCAGAACAGCCGGAGUAGACGCAGCAGCCGAAGGAAGAAACCUAGACGAAGUCAACGCAGCCAGAGCAGACGCAGCAGACACAGCCGCAGCCGGAGCAGCAGUCAGAGUAGCAGCCAGAGGAGACAUAGACCGACAGAUCGCUUUUUUAUCAGGAAACAAGGUGACUAAGUUUUUGGAAAGGCUGAAUCAAGGUCCAUCAGCUGAUCCUCAGGUGAGUCUCAGGCUAUCAGGAGAUGAGGAGGGAGGGGGGACCUGAGUCUUCCAACCCCAGGACACCAGGGGGGGGAGGACCUUCCACCACCAUGACAUCAGUUGGUCUAUCUAUCUCUCUAUCUCUGUCUCUCUGUCUAUCUCUCCAUCUAUCUCUCGAUCUCUCUCUCUCUCUCUCUCUAUCUAUCUCUCUCUAUCUCUAUCUAUAUCGCUCUCUAUCUAUCUCUCUAUCUACCUCUCUAUCCAUCUGUCUCAGAUUCCUCAGCCGAGCCGUAGAGAUGAUCUUCUACGGUCACAUUUCUAACUCAACCUACUGUUGAGAAAUGUUAUAUUGAGUUUUAAUCUGAUUACUAGUGAUGAUUAUCUUUUUUAUUGUUGCUUUUAUUUGUAAUAUUUAACCCUCAUGUUGACCUCGGGUCAAAUUUGAACCCAUUUUCUAAAAGAUUCUAAGUAAAAUAGCUUUGCUCUCUGUUUAAUGUUUGUUAAUUAAAUGACAUCAGUUUAUUUUGACCUGAGGAUAUCCUGGCUAAUAUUUGACAUAUACCAGUCUUUUAUAAUCCAAAACAACUCAUAAUUUCUCCUUUAUUUAGAUAUUAGGUCUAUGUAAAUGGCUUGUAUUGACCAUGAAUGGAAACCAAAGUGUAAAACUAGUUGGAAUGAAUUUGGCUAAAGGUGUAACACAGAUUAUUUUGGUUAUAAAUUAAACUUUUCUGUGAUUUAUAAAUAAGCAAACCGGAGCAGAGAGGAAAACACGAGGGUAAAAGAAAUGUUUCUAUUUUCUGAUUUCUAUUUUCUGUUAGAAUAUCUUUCAGCUCAGCAGGUGUGAUGAUUAUAUUUACACUUUAAUCAUAUUAGUUUGCUUCAGCUUUUAUUGUUACAGCUUGAACUGAGAGCUGAAGUUAGCGUGCUGACAUUCAGAGUUUGAUCUGUAUUUCAUUCUUUUAAUAAACUGAUCAGAUUCCCA